This 459-nucleotide ribosomal RNA is filed under the name uncultured bacterium. RNAcentral describes it as "partial 16S ribosomal RNA". It matches the Rfam family "Bacterial small subunit ribosomal RNA", at positions 339 to 795 of the family's 1533-position model. The record is from RNAcentral.
CUACGGGUCGCUGCAGUAAGGAAUAUUGCGCAAUGGAGGCAACUCUGACGCAGCCAUGCCGCGUGCAGGAAGAAGGCCUUAUGGGUCGUAAACUGCUUUUAUUUAGGAAUAAACCCCCGAACGUGUUCGGGGCUGAAGGUACUAAACGAAUAAGCACCGGCUAACUCCGUGCCAGCAGCCGCGGUAAUACGGAGGGUGCAAGCGUUAUCUGGAUUUAUUGGGUUUAAAGGGUGCGCAGGCGGGCUAUUAAGUCAGUGGUGAAAUCCCGGGGCUCAACUCCGGAACUGCCAUUGAUACUGAUAGUCUUGAGUUUGGUUGAAGUGGGCGGAAUGUAGCAUGUAGCGGUGAAAUGCAUAGAUAUGCUACAGAACACCAAUCGCGAAGGCAGCUCACUAAGCCAAAACUGACGCUCAUGCACGAAAGCGUGGGGAUCAAACAGGAUUAGAUACCCCGGUAGUC